CCCGCGAUCACUUCGAAGCAAGCGGUUCUCCUGAUCGGAUGUAAAAGUGAUUAAUAGAGCUCGGUAGACAUUCAUUUAAGUGGAAUAAAAAAGUGAAAAGUACAGAAAAAAGAUACAAAUUUUUUUCAACAUAUUGUACCCUGAGAAAGAAGCAAUUUUAUCUAGUAAAUGGGACACAUUUAAGGAAAAGGUUUUUUGCUUUUACGAAGGGCAAAUACAAAACAAAGAGCGACUUAAACUAUUAAAGACAGUUCAGAAAACUGUAUCACUUGAUUACAAGGACUACAUUUACACAGUAUUGCUCACAUCUGUCAUCUUAAAUAAUUCGUGGACCGUCAUUAAAGGAACCAACAAGCGAAAGUAAUUAUUACUACUGGAACUCGCAGGAAAGUUUUGUACGCACAUGCAGGCGUACGAAUGUGGCAAAACACAAAAAUGUGUGAUUAUAAAAAACAUUGAACGCUUUACUAGCUGCUCUAUGCAUACAUCACUGUGGACGGCAGUACACGUAGUGGCGAAGCGCGCAAGAGAGCGUGCGAAGACAACUACUAUAUAUAGUAUGUAUCAUAUAAAUUCUAAGAGUUACGUUAAGUACAAAUGUAUUUAAAACAAAAGUAAUGAUGACGUGUUAGCAUGGUAAAAAUAGAGUUUA
This is a long non-coding RNA of Drosophila subpulchrella, 652 nucleotides long. RefSeq lists it as uncharacterized. The transcript is spliced from 3 exons. Lineage: Eukaryota; Metazoa; Arthropoda; Insecta; Diptera; Drosophilidae. The record is from RefSeq and is a predicted model, not a curated record.